RNAcentral lists this ribosomal RNA (254 nucleotides) under uncultured bacterium. RNAcentral describes it as "partial 16S ribosomal RNA". It matches the Rfam family "Bacterial small subunit ribosomal RNA", at positions 524 to 776 of the family's 1533-position model. The record is from RNAcentral.
UACGGGGGGAGCAAGCGUUGUUCGGAUUUACUGGGCGUAAAGGGCGCGUAGGCGGUCAGCACAAGUCAGUUGUGAAAUCUCCGGGCUUAACUCGGAAAGGUCAACUGAUACUGUGCGACUAGAGUGCAGAAGGGGCAACUGGAAUUCUCGGUGUAGCGGUGAAAUGCGUAGAUAUCGAGAGGAACACCUGCGGCGAAGGCGGGUCGCUGGGCUGACACUGACGCUGAUGCGCGAAAGCUAGGGGAGCAGACAGG